CUCACAGGGGUUUCCUGAACCACUUGGGUGCAUUGGCCUGAACAGGAGAACCCAGGGAAAGGCGAUAGGCAGCCGGAUGCUCCUCGCAUCAAACUUGCUUGUUUCUUGAUGCCCUGCAAGUUCUCAAAUCAGAACAUCAAUGCACAAACGCAGUCACACAAAAGACGAAAGCCGUGACCUGAAGCCUGGUAUGAAAACCAAAGGCGAUCCCACCAGCACAGCCUACUGACACAGCAACCCUUCCCCGCUACGCCAGCGUUGGGAACGGGGGAAAUGUGAAGAACGACUUCCUGCGUAUGAAAGAUCUUCUACCUGAACAUCUGCAGAUGAGAAUCAUAUGGUUGUGUAUGUAUGAGAUGAUUUUCUGCCUCACAGUAAAAUGGUUCCUGUCACUGGCCACUCCGCACAGUGCUCCCCUGGCAGUUGUAGCGAGGAGAGGGGAGCCUGAAGUGAUGAACUCCUGGAGGCUUGGAGAGAGUGGAGGGAGCC
Molecule: long non-coding RNA, 489 nt
Organism: Melopsittacus undulatus (budgerigar)
Lineage: Eukaryota; Metazoa; Chordata; Aves; Psittaciformes; Psittaculidae
Exons: 3
Source: RefSeq, a predicted model, not a curated record